CUUCCUAUGAAAACCAUCUUUUGUUUAUAUAGUGUGGAUAUUUGGAAUGAAAACACUAAAAGUAAACUGAGAUUUAUAAAAUUACAAUAGACUGAAGCAGAGAGAAAGGCCAGGAAAUUAAGAUAUAGGACAUUUUACCCAUGGUUUCAAUUAGAGAGUAUGAAUAUGUAACCUUGAGUUUUUGAGUUGUUUACUUUGUACUCUACAUUUUCUCAUGAAGACUUUCAUUACGUGUAGUUUUCCAUGUGCAAGGCAUGAAAUGAUCCAUUUAUUUUUCUUAGUGGAUUUUAUGGGUUGAAUGUUAUGGGUUUGCCCACACAAGAUUACUUUUACUCCAUAUUAAAUUUGGCAUAUAUAUUUUUCCUGAUUGCUUCUACUGACAAACACAAAGCUUGUUUGUGUGCAAAUAAAAGGCUAAAUAAAUGGUGCUAAAGUGUAUUAUGACUGUCAGAUAUAAUCAGGCAAAAUUUUGUGGUGCUUCAAUUAAUUUCUCAUUGAUUUUAUUGACCAGUGUGUUGAACAGUGUUUAUUCACAAACUGUGUUUUAUUAGUAAAAUUAAAGCUUCAUAGCACAUUGUUAACAAAGAGGUUGCCUAGAUUAUGUAAUAGCUCACCAGGCUAUUUUCUCCUUGACUCCUUAUAAUGAUUCCUCAUUAAAGGUCAAGGGUCAUGCUAUUAAUCUCAUUCUAUAGAUCAGUAACAUGACUGAACAUUUCUCACAUGGUACUUAUGUUUACAAUGCUAUAACCCUUUGACUGCUGCGGCAACCUUAACCAUACAAAUGUCACAAUCUAGAAUCAUCAGCAUGGUGUGUGCCAUGGCAAUCAAAGAGUUAAGGGCUGUGCAGUUAUUUGUGUUGUAUUUAUUAAUUUAUAUUUAUUUCAUUUCCAUUCAAGAAUGGGUUAGGGUGGGGCACUGUUUGUCUGCUGUAAGUGUCUUAACCUAGGGAAAGGUUAAAUGGCUUUUUAUACUGUUGCAUCUUCUGUAUUUACCAUCAGUUCAUUGUGUUGUAAUUAAAAAAUGUCAAUAAAUAAGAAAACCAAAAACUGGUUCAUAG
Molecule: long non-coding RNA, 1057 nt
Filed under: Rattus norvegicus (Norway rat)
Lineage: Eukaryota; Metazoa; Chordata; Mammalia; Rodentia; Muridae
Description: long non-coding RNA NONRATT022136
Source: RNAcentral